Molecule: ribosomal RNA, 522 nt
Filed under: uncultured bacterium
Lineage: Bacteria
Description: bacterial SSU rRNA
Rfam family: Bacterial small subunit ribosomal RNA
Source: RNAcentral
UCCAGGGAACUUAGCAGAGAUGCUUUGGUGCCUUCGGGAACUCUGAGACAGGUGCUGCAUGGCUGUCGUCAGCUCGUGUUGUGAAAUGUUGGGUUAAGUCCCGNAACGAGCGCAACCCUUAUCCUUUGUUGCCAGCGGUUCGGCCGGGAACUCAAAGGAGACUGCCGGUGAUAAACCGGAGGAAGGUGGGGAUGACGUCAAGUCAUCAUGGCCCUUACGGCCAGGGCUACACACGUGCUACAAUGGCGCAUACAAAGAGAAGCGACCUCGCGAGAGCAAGCGGACCUCAUAAAGUGCGUCGUAGUCCGGAUUGGAGUCUGCAACUCGACUCCAUGAAGUCGGAAUCGCUAGUAAUCGUAGAUCAGAAUGCUACGGUGAAUACGUUCCCGGGCCUUGUACACACCGCCCGUCACACCAUGGGAGUGGGUUGCAAAAGAAGUAGGUAGCUUAACCUUCGGGAGGGCGCUUACCACUUUGUGAUUCAUGACUGGGGUGAAGUCGUAACAAGGUAAGCGUAGCGAG